ACCUGAAAUGACGUUGUUGGUUUUUGGGACGUUGG
RNAcentral lists this small RNA (35 nucleotides) under Bombyx mori (domestic silkworm). RNAcentral's name for it is "ovarian small RNA-11372". Lineage: Eukaryota; Metazoa; Arthropoda; Insecta; Lepidoptera; Bombycidae. The record is from RNAcentral.